This 389-nucleotide ribosomal RNA is filed under the name uncultured bacterium. Its description in RNAcentral is "bacterial SSU rRNA". It matches the Rfam family "Bacterial small subunit ribosomal RNA", at positions 28 to 418 of the family's 1533-position model. The record is from RNAcentral.
GACGAACGCUGGCGGCGUGCUUAACACAUGCAAGUCGAGCGGUAAGGCCCUUUCGGGGGUACACGAGCGGCGAACGGGUGAGUAACACGUGGGUGACCUGCCCUCAGCUCUGGGAUAAGCCUGGGAAACCGGGUCUAAUACUGGAUAUGACUCCAUGACGCAUGUUGUGGGGUGGAAAGCCUUGUGCGGCUGAGGAUGGGCCCGCGGCCUAUCAGCUUGUUGGUGGGGUGANGGCCUACCAAGGCGACGACGGGUAGCCGGCCUGAGAGGGCGACCGGCCACACUGGGACUGAGACACGGCCCAGACUCCUACGGGAGGCAGCAGUGGGGAAUCUUGCGCAAUGGGCGAAAGCCUGACGCAGCGACGCCGCGUGAGGGAUGACGGCCUC